RNAcentral lists this non-coding RNA (29 nucleotides) under Mus musculus (house mouse). The record is from RNAcentral. Lineage: Eukaryota; Metazoa; Chordata; Mammalia; Rodentia; Muridae.
UCUACUCCCUGUACACUGACCUUCUGAUC